This 75-nucleotide transfer RNA is filed under the name Candidatus Daviesbacteria bacterium RIFCSPHIGHO2_01_FULL_41_45. RNAcentral's name for it is "tRNA-Pro". It matches the Rfam family "tRNA". Rfam says of the family: Transfer RNA (tRNA) molecules are approximately 80 nucleotides in length. Their secondary structure includes four short double-helical elements and three loops (D, anti-codon, and T loops). Lineage: Bacteria; Candidatus Daviesiibacteriota. RNAcentral also lists the same sequence under 3 other names. The record is from RNAcentral.
CGGGGAUUAGUUCAUCGGUAGAACGCUGCGUUCGGGUCGCAGAGGUAGAGAGUUCAAUUCUCUCAUCCCCGACUA